CGCCAGACUCCUACGGGAGGCAGCAGUGGGUCCUCUUGCACAAUUUUGGUCACCUUGAUGCCGCCACGCCGCGUGGGUGAAGAAGUCCUCCGGUAUGUAACUCCCUAUCGGCAGGGACGAAGCAAGACGGUACCUGACUAAGAAGCCCCGGCUAACUACGUGCCAGCAGCCGCGGUAAUACGUAGGGGGCGAGCGUUAUCCGGAUUCACUGGGUGUAAAGGGAGCGUAGACGGCCAUGCAAGCCAGGGGUGAAAGCCCGGGGCCCAACCCCGGGACUGCCCUCGGAACUGCAUGGCUGGAGGGCGGGAGGGGCAGGCGGAAUUCCUGGGGGAGCGGUGAAAGGCGGAGAUAUCAGGAGGAACACCGGCGGCGAAGGCGGCCUGCGGGACCGCGACUGACGUUGAGGCUCGAAAGCGUGGGGAGCGAACAGGAUUAGAUACCCUAGUA
RNAcentral lists this ribosomal RNA (447 nucleotides) under uncultured bacterium. RNAcentral describes it as "bacterial SSU rRNA". It matches the Rfam family "Bacterial small subunit ribosomal RNA", at positions 329 to 792 of the family's 1533-position model. The record is from RNAcentral.